Molecule: unclassified non-coding RNA, 270 nt
Filed under: Agaricomycetes sp.
Lineage: Eukaryota; Fungi; Basidiomycota; Agaricomycetes
Description: partial contains 5.8S ribosomal RNA, internal transcribed spacer 2, and large subunit ribosomal RNA
Source: RNAcentral
CGCAACUUGCGCUCCUUGGUAUUCCUUGGAGCAUGCCUGUUCGAGUAUCAUGAAUUUCUCAAACCCCCAGGGCUUUGGCACUGAUGGGUUUGGACUUGGAGGCUGCUGGUCAUCAGCUCCUCUCAAAUGUAUUAGCUGGAACCUCAUGCGUUACCCGGUGUGAUAAUAUCUACUCCGCUGAGCGCAAAGCAGGUCUGCUUCUAAUUGCCCGUAAAUGGACAACUCAUGACAUCUGAUCUCGAAUCAGGUAGGACUACCCGCUGAACUUAA